GGCAACUUGGCCGAGCGGUUAUGGCGCCAGUUUCAGGCUACAAUGAGAAAUACUGGUUCGAAAGAGCGUGGGUUCGAGUCCCACAGUUGUCA
RNAcentral lists this transfer RNA (92 nucleotides) under Blumeria graminis f. sp. tritici. It matches the Rfam family "tRNA". From Rfam's summary of the family: Transfer RNA (tRNA) molecules are approximately 80 nucleotides in length. Their secondary structure includes four short double-helical elements and three loops (D, anti-codon, and T loops). Lineage: Eukaryota; Fungi; Ascomycota; Leotiomycetes; Helotiales; Erysiphaceae. RNAcentral also lists the same sequence under 1 other name. The record is from Rfam by way of RNAcentral.